Molecule: ribosomal RNA, 274 nt
Filed under: uncultured bacterium
Lineage: Bacteria
Description: partial 16S ribosomal RNA
Rfam family: Bacterial small subunit ribosomal RNA
Source: RNAcentral
AUACGGAGGGUGCAAGCGUUAAUCGGAAUUACUGGGCGUAAAGCGCUCGUAGGCGGCUUGUAAAGUCGGAUGUGAAAGCCCCGGGCUCAACCUGGGAACUGCAUUCGAUACUGGCAGGCUAGAGUAUAGUAGAGGCAAGUGGAAUUCCGGGUGUAGCGGUGAAAUGCGUAGAUAUCCGGAGGAACAUCAGUGGCGAAGGCGACUUGCUGGACUAAUACUGACGCUAAGGAGCGAAAGCGUGGGGAGCAAACGGGAUUAGAUACCCCGGUAGUCC